This 253-nucleotide ribosomal RNA is filed under the name uncultured bacterium. RNAcentral describes it as "partial 16S ribosomal RNA". It matches the Rfam family "Bacterial small subunit ribosomal RNA", at positions 524 to 776 of the family's 1533-position model. The record is from RNAcentral.
UACGUAGGGUGCAAGCGUUGUCCGGAAUUAUUGGGCGUAAAGAGCUCGUAGGCGGUUUGUCGCGUCCGCUGUGAAAACUCAGGGCUUAACCCUGAGCCUGCAGUGGGUACGGGCAGACUAGAGUGUGGUAGGGGAGAUCGGAAUUCCUGGUGUAGCGGUGGAAUGCGCAGAUAUCAGGAGGAACACCAAUGGCGAAGGCAGCACUCUGGGACGGUACUGACGCUGAGACGCGAAAGCGUGGGGAGCAAACAGG